UGGGGAAUUUUGGACAAUGGGGGAAACCCUGAUCCAGCCAUCCCGCGUGUGCGAUGAAGGCCUUCGGGUUGUAAAGCACUUUUGGCAGGAAAGAAACGUCAUGGGUUAAUACCCCGUGAAACUGACGGUACCUGCAGAAUAAGCACCGGCUAACUACGUGCCAGCAGCCGCGGUAAUACGUAGGGUGCAAGCGUUAAUCGGAAUUACUGGGCGUAAAGCGUGCGCAGGCGGUUCGGUAAGAAAGAUGUGAAAUCCCAUAGCUCAACUUUGGAACUGCAUUUUUAACUACCGGGCUAGAUUGUGUCAGAGGGAGGUGGAAUUCCGCGUGUAGCAGUGAAAUGCGUAGAUAUGCGGAGGAACACCGAUGGCGAAGGCAGCCUCCUGGGAUAACACUGACGCUCAUGCACGAAAGCGUGGGGAGCAAACAGG
This 429-nucleotide ribosomal RNA is filed under the name Acidobacteriota bacterium. RNAcentral describes it as "Acidobacteria bacterium partial 16S ribosomal RNA". It matches the Rfam family "Bacterial small subunit ribosomal RNA", at positions 355 to 776 of the family's 1533-position model. The record is from RNAcentral. Lineage: Bacteria; Pseudomonadati; Acidobacteriota.